CCAUCCACAAAAUCACGUUUCCUUAAAAUUCUUGUUUAAAAUCUCCCUCCAAAAUCAAUUAAUUCUCUCCCCUUACCUUAUUCAAUCUGCCAGUUUCACCCAUUCGUUCUUAUUCAAGUUUCAUCAGGACCUAGGGAUUAAUGUGAUAGGAUUGGGAAGAGAAGUUGUUUCCAUCGAUUGUUAUACAAGAACUGGUAAGUAACAAUGGCUAACGGAAGGGAGAGUGCGCUCAAUUUCUAUUAAGGUGUUGCUGUGGAUUGC
Molecule: long non-coding RNA, 261 nt
Organism: Helianthus annuus (common sunflower)
Lineage: Eukaryota; Viridiplantae; Streptophyta; Magnoliopsida; Asterales; Asteraceae
Exons: 3
Source: RefSeq, a predicted model, not a curated record